AAAGUCGUAACAAGGUUUCCGUAGGUGAACCUGCGGAAGGAUCAUUACAGAAUGAAAAGGUGCUUAACUGCAUUUUUUCUUACACAUGUGUUUUUCUUUUUUUGAAAACUUUGCUUUGGUAGGCCUUCUAUAUGGGGCCUGCCAGAGAUUAAACUCAACCAAAUUUUAUUUAAUGUCAACCGAUUAUUUAAUAGUCAAAACUUUCAACAACGGAUCUCUUGGUUCUCGCAUCGAUGAAGAACGCAGCGAAAUGCGAUAAGUAAUAUGAAUUGCAGAUAUUCGUGAAUCAUCGAAUCUUUGAACGCACAUUGCGCCCUUUGGUAUUCCAAAGGGCAUGCCUGUUUGAGCGUCAUUUCUCCCUCAAACCCUCGGGUUUGGUGUUGAGCGAUACGCUGGGUUUGCUUGAAAGAAAGGCGGAGUAUAAACUAAUGGAUAGGUUUUUUCCACUCAUUGGUACAAACUCCAAAACUUCUUCCAAAUUCGACCUCAAAUCAGGUAGGACUACCCGCUGAACUUAAGCAUAUCAAUAGCCGGGAGGAA
RNAcentral lists this small RNA (540 nucleotides) under Lodderomyces parapsilosis. RNAcentral's name for it is "eukaryotic LSU rRNA". The stretch from base 199 to 352 matches the Rfam family "5.8S ribosomal RNA". Lineage: Eukaryota; Fungi; Ascomycota; Pichiomycetes; Serinales; Debaryomycetaceae. The record is from RNAcentral.